GUUCUUUGUAACAGAAGCUGCAAAUUUUUUUAUUUUCUUUUUUUUUCAGAUUUUAUUUUUCCUUUUUCUCCCCAAACCCUCCAGUACAUAGUUGUGUAUUUUUAGUUGUGAGUCCUUCUAGUUGUGGCAUGUGGGAUGCCGCCUCAGCAUAGCCUGAUGAGCAGUACCAUGUCCGCACCCAAGAUUCGAUUGUUUUCCUUUUUGUAAUUUGUCUUUUGACUUUGUUCUGGUGUUUUUUAACAUGUAGAAAUUAGCAUUUUAAUGCAAUCAAAUUUAUGAAUCUUUGCUUUUGUGGCUUUGGGAUUUUGUGUCAUUCAUAUUUCGAAUGGUCUUCCCCCUUCUUUUAGAGUUUUAUUUUUCACCCUUAGAUGUUGGACCCAUCUGGAAUGUUUUGCAUAUUAGAUAUCUAACUUUCGUUUGUUUGAGGAAGAUUAGCCCUGAGCUAACAUCUGCUGCCAAUCCUCUUUUUGCUGAGGAAGAUUGGCCUUGAGCUAACAUCUGUGCCCAUCUUUCUCUACUUUAUAUGUGGGACACCUGUCACAGCACAGCUUGACAAGCAGUACAUAGGUCCACACCUGAGAUCCAAACCGGCAAACCCCAAACUGCCAAAGUGGAAUGUGCAAAUGUAACUGCUGCGCUGCCACUGGGCUGGCCCCUAGUUUGUUUUUUUAAGAUGGCUACCCAAUUGACCUUUUAUUGAGUAAACUAACAUUUGUCCCAUUGGUUAGAAAUGCUACUUCAUUAUAUAACAUCUUUUAUUGAAUAAAUUAUCUUUUCCUCUAUUGAUCUGAAUUGCCAUUUUUUAUCAUAUACCAAAGUCUCAUUUACAUUUGGGUCCUUUGUAAACAUUUUUUAUUUUGUUUUGGACCAUUUCUAUUUUGUUUAUUAACGUGGUAGUCAAUAUCUGCUCAGACUAGCCCCUGUGCAACAGUUAUCUUUUUCAGAAUUGUUAGCUACUCUUGCUAACUUAUUUUUUCCAUACAAACUUAGAAUAAGUUUGUCUAGUUCCAAAAAUGAAAAAUAGUGUUAGUCUUUUUAUGAAAUCCUAUUAAAUUUAUAGCCUAAUUUAGGGAGAAUUGAAUUCUUUAUGAUAUUCAGUUAUUCUAAAGAAUAUAAUACACUUUUCCCUUUCUUCGUCUUUUUAUAUCUCCCAGUAGUAUAUGAAGUUUUCUUUAUAUAGAUCAGUUUCUUCAUAGAGAUUUUUAGAAAGUAGGGACCUUUAAAAAAAUACCACGUAGGCCCCACCCCACAACAACUGAAUCAGAAUUCUAAGGAUAGCACCUGGCACUGUUCUGUACUUACUGUUGUUUUGUUUCUUAAGCCCUCCAGGUGAUGAUUCUAAUGUGUAGCCAGAAGUGAGUUUAUUCCUAGUUGUUCUAUCAAUUGUUGGUGGUGUGUUAUUUUAAGUGGAUGUUUCUUCCACUGUAUCUUCCAACUGGGUUUUUAUAUAUGCAACUCUAUUUCUAUAUAUUUAUUUUGUAGAAAUAAUACAAUAUUUCUUGGUAUCAAUAGUUUUUCUAUUGGUAUCUUAUGUUUUUCAGGUACAAUGCUUAGCAGCAAAUAAUUUUACCUAUCUUCCUUUCUCAAACUGUCUUUGAAGUUUUCUUCAUAAGCCAAUUCACCUCCUUUGUUUGUUUAUUGUUCUUCAGUGAAUUUGUAUGAGCUUAUCUUUAUAGUUAUGUAUGAAUUACUGAGAAAUAAAUUUCACUUCAGAUAUAUUCUGAAGUAAAACCCUUCAGAGAAAGAUCGCAACAUUAGAUUAUUAAGUUUAAAAUUAAAAUAUUCAAAUCUACCUCCUAUCUCCUAAUUAAACCUUAAGAACAUAAAAUAGCUAAUGUGUGGGUAUAUAUGCUAAUUAUAACCAAAAAAUAAAGCAAUAAUAAUAGAAACGUGGCUCUGAAAACAUAGGCAUGUGAAGAUAAAUAUAAUCCACCUCAUUCUACCCAAACCCUUUAAGAUGCAUUUACUGUUAGAAUUUACGAAGCAUCACAAUGUUUUAAGCAUAUUAGAUAUAGGAUCAUAACUAGGUACAAUUGAGUUUUUAGGAAAAUAUCUAAUUCAAAAUGGUACCUAACAACCAUGAAAACAGAAAAAGAAGAAAAAUUUGCAAAACCAAGACAAAUUAUUGAAUGCCAGAAUCUGAAAGGAAUUACAGACUGGACUGAGGACAAUCUUUGGGCUUCUUUUUUUACCACCCCCCUAUUCCAAUCUACCAUAAUCUGUUAUUUGGAAUUUUGCAAUAGCUUCCUAAGAGGGCUCCGUGAGUCUGCUUUUGGCUUUCUUCAGUCUGUUCUUAACACUGAAGCCAGAGUGAUUUUGUUAAGAUAGAUCAGAUCACAUCACUGGCUACUCAAAAUCCCCCACUGGUUUCCCAUCUUUCUCCAUAAAAACCAAAGUCACUACAGUGGCCUAUGAGGCCCUACAGGCCACAUGUUCUCUCUCAGACCAAAUGUCCUCCCAUACCGGCACUUUGUUCACCCUGCUCCACCCACACUGGCUUCUCUGUCAUUUUCCAGGCACACCAGGCAUGUACCACUUCAGGAGCCUUGUGCUUGUCAAUUCUUUCUGCCUGGAAUGUGGUCCCUCCCUCAGAUUUCCAAUGUGGCUCACUUUGUUACCUCCUUCAAGUCAUCGCUCAAAUGCUACCUUCUCACAAGGGCUUCCUUGCUUUAUUUUUCUCCAUAGAAAUCAUUACCAUCCAAUUUAGUGUAUGUUUCACAGAUUUAAUUUGCUUAUACUGUCUCCACCCCUCCGACCCCACUAGGAUGAAAGCUCCAUACAGGCGUGGCCUUUUGUCCUUUUUGUUUCCUAGAGUAUCUCAAGUGUCUGACACAUAGUAAAAGCUUAGUAAAUACUGAUUGAAUUAAUUUGCUGGGAAUUUGAGGUUUUCAGAUAUCACAUUGGAUUAGAAAACCAACACAUUAGGCCAUGGCAGGGCAGGGGGUGAAAGGGAGUAGCCUUCUCAAUAAAGCAGAACCUUCUAGAAACAGUGAGUUCUAGCAAAAUCCUGCAGGGGAGAGUUGACAGAGGAACUCUAUCCCUCUUUGUUUUUUCUUUUUCUAUGAAAAAGGCCAGAUACUAAAUAUUUUAAGCUUUGUGAGCCAUAUGGUCUCUUUCACAACUACUCAAUUCUGCCUUAGAAGCAUGAAAGCAGCAACAGACAACUCGUAAACAAAUGAGCAUGGGUGUGAUCCAGUGAAACUACAAAAACAGGAUUUGACUUGUGGGCCAUCGUUUGCUAACUGCUAGUCUAGAACAAUGGUUCACAACUUUACUGAAAAUUGGAAUCACCUCAGGAUGUUUAAAAAUAUUAAUGCCUGGCUCCCACCUCCAAGCAUCAAGAAUUUUGUUGUCGUUGUUUUGUUUUGGGGUUUUUUUGAUGUUUUGUUUUGUUUUUUGAGGAAGAUUAGCCCUGAGCUAACAUCUGCUGCCAAUUCUCCUCUUUUUGCUGAGGAAGACUGGCCCUGAGCUACCAUCCGUGCCCAUCUUCCUCUCUUUUAUAUGUGGGACGCCUACCACAGCAUGGCUUGCCAAGUGGUGCCACGUCCGCACCCGGGAUCCAAACCGGCGAACCCCGGGCCGCCAAAGUGGAACAUGCGAACUUAACUGCUGUGCCACCAGCCUGACCCCCAAGCAUCAAGCGUUUUAAAAGCUUCUCAGCUAAUCAGAGAGCCAGGGCUGCAAGGCAACAGGUGAACAGAAUUCACAAGUGUGGCCCCUCUAAGGAGAGGUGAGACACCCAAACUGUGUCAUCUUUGACAGAACAUGGGAGGAAAAACUAGCAGCCAAAAGAGUAGAUCUCAAGCAUCACUCAUGAGAAACAGGGAGCUGGGCAGGAGACUGCAUGGAGCCCCUUCAGCGAGACAGUGUACAGAUGGGGAGUGGCUGCCUGUGGAGGACAAGCAUAAAACCCAGAACAUUUUCUCAUGCAAAGAAAAACUCAUCUCCCGCUAGGGCAGGAGCUGGAAAUUCUCUCACCUCCAGUCCUUGGCAAAAGGUCAGCCGUCACUGGGGAGGGGCAGAUAAUCGCACUACCUGCUACAAUCUACCGCCGCCGGGAGAGGCAGACCCCCAGUCAUGCUCGGAAUCCUGCGCUGAUAGAAAGGAUAGGGACAGGAAAAGGUCUUGCCAGUUACAAGGGGGGGUUCAGCUGCUGUGAGGGGAGAGGGCAGGAACGUGGAGAAAGUCCCACCCUCGAAGCUCAGGCCCCCAGAGCCUGCAUAAGACUGAGGCUGGGCUAGGAGCACCAAGAAAAUCAGCCUGCCCCCGUCAUGAGCAACAGCACGCUACUUAAGGGGGAGGAGCAGAGGCGUAGAGAGAGACAGCCCCCAGCCCGCCGGCCAUGGCCCGGGUGUGCUGAAAGCUGGAGGUGGAACAGGAACACUGAGAAGAGCCCUCCAGCAUUCCAGGCCUCACACUGAAGCAAGAUCUCAGCAGUGUGAGGAGUUUGAAGUCUGUAGUAUCAUAACGACUAUAGCAACCACAAACCCAAACUUAGCUUAACUACCCCACACCGCAAUGGCCUGACAGAUGAAGAGGCAUGCCCGUUAUCAGGAGUAAAUACUAUUUAUCUACAUCAGGCUCUAUUACUCCUUUACAUAUAAUGUCUGGCAUCCAGUCAAACUUAAAAGGGAAAAAAGCAAGAAAAGACCCAUUUCCAAGAAAUGAAGUAGUAAACAGAACCAGACUGAGAGAUGGCCCAGAAGUUGAAACUAUCAGAAAGUGACUUGAAAACACUAUGAUUAAUCUAAUGAAAGAUCUAGGGGGAAAUGUGGACAAUAUGCAUGAACAGAUAGUGUAUCUCGGCAGGGAGAUGGAAACUGUAAAAAAAGAAAAUUGAUUCGCUAAAAUGAAAAACAUGCUAUCACUCAUGAAUUCCUUCAAAUGGCUUAUCAACAGACUAGACACAGAGGAAAAAAUUAGUGAACUUGAAAAAAAAAAGAAUUAGUGGGGCCAGCCCAGUGGCGCAAUGGUUAAGUUUGCACAUUCUGCUUCAGGGGCCGGGGUUUUGCCGGUUCUGAUCCUGGUUGCAGACCUGCGCACUGCAUGUCAAGCCAUGCUGUGGCAGGCAUCCCACAUAUAAAGUAGAGAAAGAUGGGCAUGGAUGUUAGCUCAGAGCCAAUCUUCCUCAGCAAAAAGAGGAGAAUUGGCAGCAGAUGUUAGCUGAGGGCUAAUCUUCCUCAAAAAAAAGAAUUAGUGAACUUGAAUAUAGGCCAAUAAAUUUUUUUUUUAAAUAAAAUCUUGAAUUUCAAAUGGUAACAAGCCCCCCUCAGGAGAGAUGGGAGAGAGAAAAAAGAGUGGAGAAAAAGUGGAGAAAAAUACAGCAGAGCAUCCAAGAGCUGUGGGACAAUAUGAAAAGGUAUAAUAUAUAUGUAAUUGAAAUCACAGAAGGAGAAUGGGGAGAGGGAAAACGUCAGAAGAAAUAUCUGAAAAG
This 5434-nucleotide long non-coding RNA is filed under the name Equus asinus (donkey). RNAcentral describes it as "lncRNA (ENSEASG00005034973.1)". The record is from RNAcentral. Lineage: Eukaryota; Metazoa; Chordata; Mammalia; Perissodactyla; Equidae.